GACGAACGCUGGCGGCGUGCUUAACACAUGCAAGUCGAACGGAAAGGCCCUGCUUUUGUGGGGUGCUCGAGUGGCGAACGGGUGAGUAACACGUGAGUAACCUGCCCUUGACUUUGGGAUAACUUCAGGAAACUGGGGCUAAUACCGGAUAGGAGCUCCUGCUGCAUGGUGGGGGUUGGAAAGUUUCGGCGGUUGGGGAUGGACUCGCGGCUUAUCAGCUUGUUGGUGGGGUAGUGGCUUACCAAGGCUUUGACGGGUAGCCGGCCUGAGAGGGUGACCGGCCACAUUGGGACUGAGAUACGGGCCAGACUCCUACGGGAGGCAGCAGUGGGGAAUAUUGCACAAUGGGCGGAAGCCUGAUGCAGCAACGCCGCGUGCGGGAUGACGGCCUUCGGGUUGUAAACCGCCUUCGCCUGUGACGAAGCGUGAGUGACGGUAAUGGGUAAAGAAGCACCGGCUAACUACGUG
RNAcentral lists this ribosomal RNA (468 nucleotides) under uncultured bacterium. RNAcentral describes it as "partial 16S ribosomal RNA". It matches the Rfam family "Bacterial small subunit ribosomal RNA", at positions 28 to 507 of the family's 1533-position model. The record is from RNAcentral.